AUGAAUUUAAGCCCAUAAAAUUGGUAUGUAAAGCCUAAUUGAUUAACUAUAAAUAAUGACAAAAUCCAGACAGCAGAGAAGCUGUACUUGGACGCAAGGACAAGGGCAGAAUCGUAAUUGAGCCCGGAUGUGAAAAUUUUCCGGCUUCCGAAUUUGCUUUUUCCCACCCAAGCCAAAAGCAACUGCCAAAAUUCCAAUCCAGAUUCAAAACCUUCACAAAAAAGCAAUAAAUUUCCUCUAUCUUCACUGUUUACACAAUUAUACACACUCAUCUUUAACCUUCCUGCUCCUCUCCUCUCCGUUUUCUCUAUCUAAUCCCGAUGUACUAAUACUUUGGUUCAUCGUUUACUUGUUUUUUUUUCGUCGAUAGAUUUGCUAAAUUUGGUGCAUCAGUAAAUAUAGAAGCGAAAGGAAAGCACGUGGCAGAAUGAAGACGGUGGCGAUGGACUACUUUGGGGAGGCGGAAGAGCAGAGCGGCGGUGUCACGGUGGCGAUGGACGUCGAUGACGUCGAUUCAUCCUUAGAUCUCUUUGGCGAGGGGCCAAUUUUUGACCUCCACCGCUUGGUCGAUGCGGAUUUCUUCAACUCCUUCCAGGACGAUUUCGACGAUGAAGACAUUAACUAGUAUAAACUUCGUGCUUCUCUCCUCCUCCUGUGAUUUCAUCGCGUUUACAUUUGCUUGAAAUAUGGUGUAUCGGUUUUAUUUGAUAAGUGAAUCUAUUGUUGCUUGUAAGACCAGCAGCCGUGCUCUUGUCUAAUGAUGAACUUCUUUAGGGAUUUCUGUGUUUCUUUGUGGCUGAAUUUUAGCAGAAACCCUAGUUUUGCAA
Salvia miltiorrhiza (redroot sage) is the source of this 827-nucleotide long non-coding RNA. RefSeq lists it as uncharacterized. Lineage: Eukaryota; Viridiplantae; Streptophyta; Magnoliopsida; Lamiales; Lamiaceae. The record is from RefSeq and is a predicted model, not a curated record. The transcript is spliced from 2 exons.